Molecule: long non-coding RNA, 739 nt
Organism: Cyprinus carpio carpio
Lineage: Eukaryota; Metazoa; Chordata; Actinopteri; Cypriniformes; Cyprinidae
Source: Ensembl
AAAAACUUUCUGCCUUGGGCUAUAUGCCCAUAUUAUUUAUCAGCCAGAGGCACAAGGGCACAGGCAAGUUGAUGGCAGAUGUAGUCACGCAUCUGCCACCGACGCAAAACAACACACGUUUCUUAACCAGCAUGAAGAGGGCAUAUGACUUCAUAAUCAAACUGGAUGAUGUGCCCCAGCCCCAGCCCCAGCAAGACCAGCCCCUGCCCCUAGACCGGCUAAUCCCACAAGACCAGCCCCUAGACCAGCCCCUGCCCCUAGACCAGCCCCAGCAAGACCAGCCCCUGCCCCUAGACCAGCUAAUCCCACAAGACCAGCCUACCCCAACAGACCAGCAAAUUAUUACACUUGAACUAUUUACGAUCGACUCUCAGGCUCAGCAGCAUGUGGAGCCUCUACCACCCAGGAAAAGACAAACCCCACUAUCCACCCCGCGCCUACCAUCCACCCCAGGCCAAGGCAGACGAGCCCCACCAUCCAUCCAACCUCAACUAAAGAAAAGACAAAGUUGCAAAUGCAGUCGACAGACAAUUUAUCCAUACGAUAAAAUAUUGGGAAGACGGAUGAAUGGGGGGAAGGCAGCAGAGGUCAAAGUGCACUGGCUACCUUGCUCUUCCUGUGGCAGAGUCUGGGAGGACACCUGGGAGCCGGCCAGCAAAUUCGCCUGAUGACCAAUACUGUUGUACUAUUUGUUUUGUAUAUAUUUGUCAAUAAUUAAAUUCACUAUUGUUACAUUUUA